RNAcentral lists this transfer RNA (76 nucleotides) under Clostridiales bacterium. Its description in RNAcentral is "tRNA-Glu". It matches the Rfam family "tRNA". Rfam says of the family: Transfer RNA (tRNA) molecules are approximately 80 nucleotides in length. Their secondary structure includes four short double-helical elements and three loops (D, anti-codon, and T loops). The record is from RNAcentral. Lineage: Bacteria; Bacillati; Bacillota; Clostridia; Eubacteriales. RNAcentral also lists the same sequence under 2 other names.
GCCUGGUUGGUCUAGUGGCCUAGGACGCUGCCCUCUCACGGCGGUAACAGGGGUUCGACUCCCCUACCAGGUACCA